This is a long non-coding RNA of Cygnus olor (mute swan), 400 nucleotides long. RefSeq lists it as uncharacterized. NCBI's taxonomy places the organism in Eukaryota, Metazoa, Chordata, Aves, Anseriformes, Anatidae. The transcript has 2 exons. The record is from RefSeq and is a predicted model, not a curated record.
GCAUGUCAUGGACGCCAGAUGCUUUCAUUAAAAAAAAAAAAAAAAGAGAGAAGAAAGAAAACAACCCUAAGCUCUGACCAUGUAUUUCCCAGUCUGGUGUGAAGGUCUCAUGGGGCUGCUGAAGCCCAGAGCCCACCUUACAGCCUCAAACAAAACCAUCACAACCUUUCACCCAAGCGCAGGAGAGCCAACACAGCUCGGGUGGGAAAUGUGGCUCCAGUUCGAUGCAUUUACCUCUUUUCCUCAUCCAAAAACCCGUGGCCGAUUUGAAUCAGCCCAGCAAAGACAGACUCACUCCCUGCAAAUGUCCUCCAGCCAAAUGGCUGUAAACACACCAGUGUGAGCUCAACCCCUAUAGGACACUGGAGAAGCUGGGUGAGGAAAUAAAAUAGUGCCAGUG